Molecule: ribosomal RNA, 253 nt
Filed under: uncultured bacterium
Lineage: Bacteria
Description: partial 16S ribosomal RNA
Rfam family: Bacterial small subunit ribosomal RNA
Source: RNAcentral
UACAGAGGGUGCAAGCGUUAAUCGGAAUUACUGGGCGUAAAGCGUGCGUAGACGGUUAUGUAAGUCGGAUGUGAAAUCCCCAGGCUCAACCUGGGAACUGCAUCCGAUACUGGAUGGCUUGAAUUCGGGAGAGGGAUGCAGAAUUCCAGGUGUAGCGGUGAAAUGCGUAGAUAUCUGGAGGAAUACCGGUGGCGAAGGCGGCAUCCUGGACCGACAUUGACGCUGAUGAGCGAAAGCUAGGGGAGCAAACGGG